RNA transcript from Homalodisca vitripennis (glassy-winged sharpshooter), 3224 nucleotides. It is a transcript of the gene named putative proline-rich receptor-like protein kinase PERK6, with no coding region annotated. NCBI's taxonomy places the organism in Eukaryota, Metazoa, Arthropoda, Insecta, Hemiptera, Cicadellidae. The record is from RefSeq and is a predicted model, not a curated record. The transcript has 2 exons.
UGUGUGUGUGUUUAUAGACAAUUUUCACUUGGCAAAGAUCAGUUUUGUCUAUUUUUACAAGGACGACAGAUUGAAAAGAACAAUUUCAACCAUUGUAAUGUUUCACAAUAGUGUCGGGUAAUGUCAUUCACGUGUGAAACAUUUCGUGAAAAUCGUUAGAUCCGUUUGGCUUAUGUGCAAUAUUUACAGUGCCGGCUAUACAGUUAUUAUCGUAUUUUAAAUGGCAUUUUCUGUCAAAAUUAUGGCACAUAACCACUAAACACCUCCAUCGCUGUCCUAAUGUCGGUCCAUGAUUACACUUGCACUGAAGGUGGUAGAGUAGAGUGAUGUGAGUAACAGUUUCAAAAAUAUCCAUUAAAUAAUACACGUAUCGCGAGAAAAUAGCCAGAGGAGUUGUUUUAUUACCAACCUACACCAAGCCGUGAGUACCGAGUGCAUCAGACUGGAAUCAGCUAAAGUCGGUAGCACUCGGUUAUUUCCGACUCCUUUAAUAAAGCCUUUGGCCUGGGUACACGACUCAAAGUGAGGUGUAUGUUGAAGGAAACAGAUUUUUUUCCGGACAUUUGCCACCGUUCAGUGAUACACAAAAUCAGUAACACUAUAUUUCGAGAUCUGCAAUCUGAUCUCUUCUUCGGGUAACUAACUUAACACAUAAUUACAAACUAGAUUUAAAUUAAAAGGGCCGUUUUUUGGUAGUUUUAGUAUUUCAAAGACGACACCUUUGAUAUUUCUCUAAUUCUUUAAGGAGGUGUAAACCUACGUUUCUAAGGCUUGUUUCUUCAGGCACACCGUAACCUUUCUUUAUCUCUUGUUUCUUGUUUCUCUUGAAAACGUCUCGAUUCAUACGUCUACCACAUUAACGUUUAUAUUACAUCGGAAAUAAUCUUUUACUGUUUGGGUAGUAUUCAUCCAUAUAUUAGAGUAAAAGAAAAUAUAUUGCGUGUUACUGUGGAUUGUUGUAUUGAAGCUUAUAGAGAAAGCAGUUUUCUGUUUAAAAUUUAAGCUUUCUCCAAUUUAACUCAUCAUUAUUCAAAAAGUAAUGAGAGAAAAAACAUUUUUGUAUAGCAUACAGCAGAAUUCUUAUUGAAUGUCUCUUCAAGAACGAUAUAGCAACAAUUAACAGUUCUAAGUCAACAAUUAAAUGCCGUCAGGGAUCUUCAUUAGAAAAAUAAUUUGUAGUCUCUGGCCGAGACGAUUCCUGAAAUAUAAUUGAGAUGUUGUAUAUUCUUUCUGAACUUUACUGUAAAGAAUAAACGCAUUAUAACACAGCUAUCCACUAUAAAAUAGAAUAUUCUCAACCAUCACCUUCUUGAUUUCAACCCCAUCUCAAAAACAGAUCUUUGAUCGAACCGAUCAGUCCCUUCAAUAAUUUUUGUGUGCUCUACAAUUGGUUUAGGACAAUUUACAGAUAUUUUCUCACCAGUUCUUAGAUUUCUCUUAGACUGCACAAUUUUAUUUGGCAUAAGCAAGCUGUAGGGAAAAUUUGCACUUGCUGUAUCUCCUCACUUGCCAUAAUAGCUAAUGCAAUCUUUGAGUAACAAAAUUGAUGAUGUCUUCUCAAUUUUUUACUUCUCUUUAGAAACAAGCGGUAAACCAACAGCUGCACACGUACAGCCCCGGUGAAAAAUACAUAUUUUUCUAAAAGGUUUUCUAUUAUAUAUUAUAUAUAAUUAUAGAAAUUAUCAAAAGCUCCAUGACACUUUUCACCAUGUCUUUCGGAAUCAGAAGGGUUUUCAAUUGAGUUUUGAAUUGUUUUCCAUUUUGUUGUUUGGUGUGUUCAGGGAGACUGUUUAUCAAUCUGACAUCUACUUGGGAUGGUAAGUUUCUGAACGCAUUUGUCCUGUGCUGUUGGAAGCGAAAGUUGCCUCUGCCUCUCGUCUCGUGUUGGUGAACAUCCCCUCCCCGAACCAUUCUGGAUCAAUGGGUUCAGAUCGUUUACGUAAAUAAGAAAAAGAACUGGCUCAAGGAUAAAUCCCUUUGGGAAUUCAUGGUUGAUCUUUACUUUUGAGGAUAAGACACCCCAUAUCUGCACACACGGCUCUCGUACACUAAUCCAAGCCAUUUUAAAGGAAGACUCCGUACACCAAACCUUUCUAACUUGUGCAACAGUGUUUCAUGAUACACACAGUCAAAUGCAUUGAAGAGGUGGAAAAAUACGCUGAGCACGUGAUCACGUCUCUCCAGUCCAUCGACAACAUAUUCUAUGAGGUUAGUUACAGCGUCUACUGAACUCCUUUUUUCUCUGAAUCUAAAUUGGGUCGGGCUGAGAAUAUCAAAACUUUUGAGUUAUACCAGGAAAUGUUUCUCACAAAUUUUGCUCAGUACCGGCAAAAUGGAAAUUGGACGGUAGUUGUUGGUUUGUAAAGGAUCAUCUUUUUUACAUUGAAAUGACUUUUGCAGUUUCAAUUUUGAUGGAAAGAUUCUGGUUUGAAAUGAAAAGUUGAUUGAUUUUGUUAGUGGUGUUAGUAAAUGCCUGAAGCAAUGCUUUAACAUCCACAUUGAAACUCCGUUGAUGUCGCAGGAUUUUUGGAAUUUAGAACUUAUUCACCUACUGGGUUUUCCCUUUUAUAUGCUCUCGAGUCUAAGUUUUCCAAUAAAUAUUGGUGGUUUCAUUGCUUGGGUGGCACUGUUUUCACACAUUUUUGGCUCUCUCUCAGCCGAAUACGUUUAUAAUGGCCAUUGUAUGGUUACAAAAGACGAGAUUGGUCUAUAAGUAGUAAUUCCUACAGCUGGCAACAAAAGAGACAAAACGAUUACGUAACGAUUUUCGCACCAUCCCACGUGACUAGGACUGCUGAUUAUCGUUUUUGCACUGCUGACCUUUAGUAUCUCAUCUUGUUCCUCGAGUCAGUCGUCAAUAUGAAAUCGUUGUUACUUCACGUUUUCGUUACGGUUCUUCUGUUAUCACAUCUUACCUCGGCUGACCUAGACACUGACCUUUCCAGUACAGACGUCUUAUCUAACGUAGAAGUCGACUCAAUUUUGAUAUCUGCUCCUGCCAUCCCAUGCGCAAGCCCGAGCGAAUAUAGGGACUCACGUGGUAGAUGUAGAAAGCUGCUGAUACGGUCUUGAGACAGCAUGAAGAAAGAAUAUCUUCUCCAAUAUCCAUAUCGUAGAAGAUCCUUAGCCAUGUUGAAGAUGUUAGCCACCACAUGAUUCAAAAGUGCAAACUAAUUAUGUCUUUUUAACUGUUUUAUAUUCAUUAAUAAAGUGUUACAUUAUUA